UGGGGUGUAGCCAAGCGGUAAGGCAACAGACUUUGACUCUGUCAUCUCGAUGGUUCGAUCCCAUCCACCCCAGCCA
Molecule: transfer RNA, 76 nt
Filed under: Bacilli bacterium
Lineage: Bacteria; Bacillati; Bacillota; Bacilli
Also listed under: 1 other name
Description: tRNA-Gln
Rfam family: tRNA
About the family: Transfer RNA (tRNA) molecules are approximately 80 nucleotides in length. Their secondary structure includes four short double-helical elements and three loops (D, anti-codon, and T loops). Further hydrogen bonds mediate the characteristic L-shaped molecular structure. tRNAs have two regions of fundamental functional importance: the anti-codon, which is responsible for specific mRNA codon recognition, and the 3' end, to which the tRNAs corresponding amino acid is attached (by aminoacyl-tRNA synthetases). tRNAs cope with the degeneracy of the genetic code in two manners: having more than one tRNA (with a specific anti-codon) for a particular amino acid; and 'wobble' base-pairing, i.e. permitting non-standard base-pairing at the 3rd anti-codon position.
Source: RNAcentral